Molecule: long non-coding RNA, 1017 nt
Organism: Notolabrus celidotus (New Zealand spotty)
Lineage: Eukaryota; Metazoa; Chordata; Actinopteri; Labriformes; Labridae
Exons: 3
Source: RefSeq, a predicted model, not a curated record
CUGACAGAAGCCGUUGCAAAUGAUUAGCACCAGCUAACCUUACAGGGGUUAACUUUGUUGUUACAGCUACGCUGUCUGCCCUAUAACGUGACGUUAGAAACCUACUCCAGCAAAGCACUCCUGUGAGACUCCACUGGUGUCCUGCUGCUCUAACCCUCUCCUGGAACUGCUCCUGCUCAGCUGCAUACCUGCUACAGUUCAGAAUCACAUGCUCAACAUUCUCACUCACUCCACACCUCUCACACCGAUCAUUACUCCUUUUUCCUAAUGUAUACAAAGUGUUAUUUAGUCCUGUAUGCCCCACCCUGAGUCUCAUUAUUAAUUUCCUCCCUUAUUUUCCUUUCCUUAUAGUUCUUUUUUAUUACUGAUUUUUGUAUUUUGUAAAAGCUCCUUCCUUUCUGGUCUUCUUUCCACCUUUUUCUGCCGUAUUUCCAUUCCUUUCUUCUUAAUUGUUGCUUUCCCUUCUCCUGUCCCAAGAGGUAUUUGGACUGUUGAGUUCUUCCCCAGUGCCCCUUUUGCUAAUUUGUCUACAUCCUCAUUUCCUUUCACCCCUCAUGUGCUGGCACCCAACAGAACUGUACAUCUACACCACCCCUGUGAAGUCUAGGCAAACUGUGUUGUAUUUCAACGGAGACGAGUCUGCUUACAGACAGGAGGUGGAGCAGCUGGCUCUCUGGUGUAGUCAGAACCCGCUCAAGACGGUAGAGAUGACAGUGGACUUCCCCCAUCCCCCCUCAACAUCCUGAACAGCAUUUUGUCUACUGUGGACUCUUUUAGGUUCCUGGGAUCCAUAAUCUCCCGGGACCUGAGGUGGACCUCCCACAUAGACACAAUCAGAAAAAAGGCCCAGCAGAGGAUGUACUUCCUGCGUCAGCUCAGGAAGUUCAACCUGCCCCAGGAGCCGCUGAUCAUGUUUUAGACCUUCAUCAUCCAGUCUGUUCUGUGCACCUCCAUCACUGUCUGGUUUGGAUCUGCAACCAAACUAUACAAACACAGACUGCAACGGACUAUAAUGAC